Mytilus californianus (California mussel) is the source of this 1875-nucleotide long non-coding RNA. RefSeq lists it as uncharacterized. NCBI's taxonomy places the organism in Eukaryota, Metazoa, Mollusca, Bivalvia, Mytilida, Mytilidae. The record is from RefSeq and is a predicted model, not a curated record. The transcript has 4 exons.
CGCAGUUUAUAAGCAUAAAUCGACUUCGUAGAUCCACAAUGAACAUACUAGUAGUUCUUUUUGUUUUAUGCAGUUUUGGAAUUGUUGACUGUUUCGUCAAGAUAGAAAAUUACCAGGAUUCUGUUUACAUAAUAAAGGGAUACUCCAGGUAUCGUAGAUUUUAUCCAGCAUCAAAUAUAACCGUUUUUGAACCGAGAAACUAUGAUUUCAUGUCAGAUGUAAUAUGGAGUAAAGUCGAUGGUGUUAACAAGCAAGGACAUUUAGUGCGGUUAUUCAAGUAUGAUGACAACGAUCUAUAUCCGACCUUACAAUACUAUUUUACAAAUGAAGAGUACUACCAGAAUAUAUCAAAAACUAUCAUUAAAGAGAUGACUGACCAUCCUGUCUUCCAUGUAAAGCUGUAAAUGUUUUAGAUGUUGACGUUCUACAUGUACAACCAGACUGUACCAUUUAAAAACAAAAAUAGAUUUAAUUUAUUCGUUUUAUUGUUUUUUGUUGCUGUUUCUUGUUUUAAUUCUGUUGUGUUUCUUUCGUUUACCUGCUUACUGUAAAACUUGCAAUAAAAAAAACACAGAUUCAUUACUAUUUAACCGGAAGUCAUGGCAAUUGUUUGGAUUUGUAGCCUAGUUGUAUAUGUUUUAGUUCUCAAAUCACCUCUUUGGGACCGAGAUCUCGGAUAUUGUUUUUAUUUCAGGGUUGUGGUCAGCUCUUCGAAAACCCAGUCUAUCCACAACUCUUUUUACAUUAUUAUUAUUAUCAGCAAUUGCAUCAUUUUCAACAAAUCUGAGAACAGAUCGCCGAAGUCGAUACCAUAAUUUGGCAUCAUUAAGGUCAUAGGUUACCAAAUUGAAACUACACCGACUGCGUCGAAAAAUUAAGGUGGAUCAUCGGUAUAUAUUACCUCAAAUAAAAUGUUCUAACACUAUGCCUAAAUGUAGAUUUUACCAUGCUUUUCUAUAAAAAUAUAAUAAAAAGUUUGGACCAACAAGUGGUGCAAAAUAACCAAAUUUUGCAAAGAUCACUCAUGAAAAAAACACUUUUUUGUAAAUAAAAAGAUAUCUGUGAGAUAGAAUUUUGAAAUAAAAGAUGAGAGGAUAGGUUUUAUAAUAUGCUUUAAGAAAAUAAGAGCUAUCUCCCCUUAAAUUGCAAAAAUUGCAAAAUUGAAAGAACAAAAACAAAUAUAUGGUAUAAAUAGUGCAAUAAAUCACUUAUUUUUCUUUAUUGAAAUUAACAGUCUUACAUGUAUUACUAGUAAUUGCCCAUCUGUCUAAAUAUUUCCAGAUUUAAACAAAGAACUAGACCAAUUGUGUACUGCUAUUUUACAAUCCAAGAUGGCUGUUUACAGUUAAUCUACCUUAAAAAAGGAAUUCUAUAGCUUCCAGCUACAAACAAACAUUUACUCCCAACGUUAACUGCACAGAUCGAUUAAAUCCGAGCGGCUAUGAACUUACAAUGUACGAACGCCUAUUUUGGUUGAUAUAGUCGAGCGUUUGAUUUUGUCAGGUUUUAUGGCGUUCUUCUAUUUGAUAAAAUUUAUGCUCGAUAAAAAAACAUAUGAAAUAAAAACAACUUAAUAUAUAAUAAUUUAUAUCAUUUGUGUAUUACAUAUAAAUAUAAGAAGAUGUGGUGUAGUAUGAUUGCCUAUGAAACAACUAUCCACAAGAGACCAAAUGACACAGAAAUUAACAACUAUGAGUCACCGUACGGCCUUCAACAAUGAGCAAAGCCCAUAUCGCAUAUCUAUUUUAAUCGGUUAUCCCGAUACUGCUUAACAGCCUGGAACCUGGUUAGAGUUGGUAUAUUAUGUACUGGUCGUGGUAACUGAAAAAUAUUGUACUUUUCCUUUAUUGUAUUUAGUAAAGCAUUUGCAAUAAA